Ctenopharyngodon idella (grass carp) is the source of this 5666-nucleotide long non-coding RNA. RefSeq lists it as uncharacterized. The transcript is spliced from 7 exons. NCBI's taxonomy places the organism in Eukaryota, Metazoa, Chordata, Actinopteri, Cypriniformes, Xenocyprididae. The record is from RefSeq and is a predicted model, not a curated record.
UCGGCCGUGUAAGUGCAGCAUUGUUAGGCGCGAAUCUGCACCCCGCCCUCGAAUUCUAGUGAAACGCGUCGCGGUUUCACUCUUCUCCAAUCUACAGUACAGAGAACUUUCAUCUAAUCCAGCAGGAAGACAUUUGCUGAACUAACGUUAUAUUUCUGGCCACGUAUAAAAAGAACCAGAGAUGUCUUACGUGCGCGCUUCAUUUGCAGUCGUUUGUUACUUUAGUAUUUUGCAAUCUCACUUUAAUAUGUAAUUUGUGAGAUGACAAAUGGAGCUUCUGACUGCAUCUGUUCGCUGGACUUUAUUUAAAAUUAACAACUAUUUGCAUUUUUCUUGACCAACAGCUGCCGUCAUGCCGGUGAAAGUUCAAUAUCAUGAUGCAUUCCAAGAUUUUCUGAAUGAAGUCACACACAAGAUCCUCAACCUCCAGCACAUGUACUCAUUCUUUGUCUGACCAUAAAGAGACAGCAGCGCCAAACCAGCAAACAAAGGCCAGCAACAGAUUUAGCAUAGAUGUUAUGGCAAAAAGAUUGUCCAUGAUGCCCUGAAAAAAUAAUCCAGUGACGAGAAAGAAGACUACGAUGAGACAGACUUGUGCAUUUCCAUAAGUCCUGCACCUGCACCAGUACUGAAGGCCAUCUCAGUCGGAGGGAGGACCACCAGCCAUUCCUACUGGUAUUGAGAAGGAUCAAGGGCAGGAUCGACAUUCUUUGUGGUUGAAGAAGCACCUCAACUCUUCUGAAGGAACCAGCUACUUGAGUGCUAUCGAACUUUAAGUCUACUGUUUCUACCUGCUGUGUAUGUAGGUCCUUUAUCUUUAUCUUCCUGCUAUACUCUACAAAACUGAUGUUGGUCUUACCAGUGAGUCUCCCAAAGUAAAGGAAUUGCAUGCAAAGCAUUGACAAUCUUUUGACAACAUCUUUUCGGAGCAUCAUGUAUUUAAAGUACAGAUAUUGGAAGUAGAGAGUACGUUUAACUGCUAACAUUUUGAAGUUCUAUAGGUCUUUUGACCUGCAGAGUUCACAUGGGUGAAUUUGAUGAAUAUUUCAACUUAUGUGACGUGUCAUUGUUGAAAAAGGUUCAAACUGAUACAACGUAUUGGCUGUUAUUUAAUGCACACAUUGUGUUUUUAGUUGAACUGAAUACAGAUUACAUUUAAUGACAAAUCAGGGUUUGUAUGAACACCGUAUUAGUGUACUCUUGGUGUUGACACAUCUGGUGUAGUUUUAACACUAGCAGUGUAAAUGAGGGGGAAAAAACACCAAUAAUUGUGGUAAUUAUGAACACUUAGUGUUUUAACUCCAUACAAGUGUUAAAGCAACACUGAGUGUGAAUUCAACACUUUAAAAUUUGCUGUGUUCUAUUGACCGUGCUAUGUGUUGAUUUGAGUUUGCACUGUUUAAAUGUUCAUGAUAACAAAUGUUAUUUAGAGCGACUAGAACAGAGAUUGUUACAAUUAUUUCACGCUGAAAUGAGGAUAUUUGCAUGGUUAAAAAAGCAAUGUUUGGCACGUGUGUGGUGAGUCUCGCGUGAGUUUGAAAGCGAGGUUACCUCGUGAGUGAUGGUCUGUGAUGGUUUGCGCUGCAACUAAAACCUUUAAUUUCGGUUUUACAGAAUAAAUUCACUUUAAAUGUGCAACCACCCUUGUGAUUUAUGCACUGCACAUUGGGAAGGGUUACAGUCACAGCCUGACCAGUUAAAAAGAGUGGUCAAACCCCCUCAAAACUAGCCUGCUAGACCAGCUAUGAGCAGCCUGGAAGACAGCAACUCAUCUGAUCCUCCAGACUCUAGCAAUCCUGUUCAGCUCCAGCAGAGUUACAUUGGGGUCAGUGCGUGUGUUCAGUGAGGUUUUGGCAGCCACUAGAUGGCGCCCUGGCAGUGUCAGACAUCUGAAAUUAUCUAAAGCACUGAGAACUACAGUGAAUAGAAGUUAGUGUGCGUGUUUGGAGAUGGGUCUGUGUUCCAGUCAGUAAAUUUCAAGUUUUAAAAUGAAUAUGGAAAGUACGUAUAUAAAGGGUUCUGCAGAUGGUUAACUGUUCUAAUAGACCAAUAUCAUUAUUAUGAUCUAUAUUUUUGUUAUCUUACCUUCACAUUUAACACAUCAUGCAUUAACAUUCAUGGCCUCAAAACUUAAGGUCUGAGGGAAAAAAAUUACACCCCCUGAUAGCACACGUUCAUCUCAGAGACGACCAUUUACAUCUGUGUUUGUUCAUCUGCAAUACGUCUCUCUAAGCCUAAGACUGCUCUAAGACUAACUGCUUUUUCUAAUAUGUUUAUCAGAUGUUUUCACACAGCAGAUGUUUUCCAGAUUUCUAGAUCUUUAGCAGACAUCUUAGAGAAGUACCUGCAUCUGUGGAUCAAAACACAAAUGAUGAAAUGACUGUGGUGUCAUCAGCCAGUUUUUCCCCUUCAGAACACCCAGAUACAGUCUUAAUACUGUAUAAUACUUAAUACUGUCUUAAUAUUCACGUGAAAGAGCACCGGAGGUGAUACGUCAAAACUUUUUUUGUAUUUGAAUGCUCUUUUACCUGAAUAUUAUGACACAAGUGAAGCACAAAACUAUUUUUACAAAUUAAAUAAUAGGCUGGCAAGUAAAUGUUACAUCGCAGCCGUGAAAACAUUUGGAUUCAUGACAAAUGAAAGGUACGUGAGCCCAUAAAUUUAAGCUUUGUCAGCUUUGAAUUCUGUUUUGCGAUCUGGUCACCCGAUUAUCAGUAAAUUUAACAGUAUUCCAGUAGUUAUUUCACUGAACAUGGAAGCCCUAGUUGUAAGAGCAGUAAGGGGAACAUCUUACUGCAUUAUUUGCAAAGACCUCAUCUACAUCAAAAUAAACUGAAAGACAACUCACAACACAUGAAAACUCUGAAUUUCUUGUGCAGCUGCAGUUUGUCUGUGAAUCUCUCGUCGGCUUCAGCGUAUGUCAUCUCUUUGGUCCCUCCAGUCAUUUGCGCAAUGAGGAGAUCUUGAUCUCCAAACAUCCACAGGAUCAGAUCAUCUUUCUGUACUUCAGUAUCAGGGUUUAGAGUCACAUUCUUUCCCUCCUUCCCCAAAGUCAUCCUCGCUUUAUUUGUGACAGCACAACAUAGAAAAUGAGAAAAACAAGAGUUCCCAUUAAAUCAAGUGUGUGAAUUUGAACAUUAGCUACAAACAUCAUGCAGAUGCCAUUAUAUCAAUUUGAAAAAGACAUCUGCUUCAUGUUAUACAAAAACUUCAUAUUGCUGUUUUAGGGUAUGUUCACACGACACUGCACAAUGCAUAUGACAACAAUGUUAGGAGUUUCCCAUUCAGACGCAACAUUUAUGGGAGGAGAGUUUUUAAAUGAAUCACACAAUGCCAGGCAUUUACUGGUUUCUUCUAGUCAAUUUACUGGUAUUUGUGCCAUUAUUUAAAGGGAUAGUUCACCCAAAAAUGAAAAUUCUGUCAUCAUUUAUUCACCCUCAGGUUGUUCCAAACCUGUACAAAUUUCUUUGUUCUGCUGAACACAAAGGAAGAUAUUUUGAAGAAUGUGUUAAACUGAACUGUUUAGGGGCACCAUUCACUUCCAUAGUAUUGUUUUUUUCUACUAUGGAAGUCAAUGGUGCCCCAAAGCAGCCUAGUUACAAACUUUCUUCAAAAUAUCUUAUAUGGUGAGAAGAGAAUUGAUAUCCUGUUACAUCUGUUGACUAAACUCAAAUUAUUAAAAGUAUUGAGAAUAUUAUAAAAUGAUAGAGAAUUCUGUGAUGAUACUGAUCAUUUUAUUCAAAAGAUCACAGUGAUUUCUACUGAAUCGGAUUUAUUCUGUCAUGUUUUCAGCUCGUCUGCCUGUUCCUGUCAUCAGUAGUAACUCUUCAUCAUCAUCAUCAUGUUCAUUGGUGUGUUCAGCUGUGAAUGUGAGUCAUGUGACUCUCUCCUGGUACAAAGGAAACAUUCAUUUGUCCAGCAUCAGAGUGUCUGAUCUCAGCAGCCGGUCUGAUCUUCUUCUCCAUCUGGAGUGUGUGGAUGAUUCCUACAGCUGUGUGCUGAACAAUCCCAUCAGAAACCAGACUCAACACCUCAACAACACUCAACUCUGUCACACAUGUGCAGAACACAGUAUCCACUGUUGUGGCUUUACUGAAGCUGUGAUCUGAUUGGCUCUCUCUGCUCUGGUGGGCGUGGCUACUGUGGUUGUUCUGGUUUAUGACAUCAGGGACCAUAUUCACAAAACAUCUUAAGGCUAAAACUAGCUCCUAAAUCUGUGAAACACUAGGAGUAGUCAAGAGAACUCCUAAAUCACUAAGACGAAAUCACAAACAAUCCUAAUCCUAAUGGCCGUUGCUGCCAAUCCGCCUCAGCAAUCCACCCAAAGACACUGUACACCAUUGACACUAUUGAGGCAAUAGCGAUAAAGCCUUAGGUGCUGAACCUUCUUCAUAAAUGCAAUACAUAUUUUGAUUUAUAGAUUUUAAUCUACCAUAAAACGGCAAAAAUAAAUAUUUAAUAAAUAAAUAAAUAUUGUCCGAUUAGCUGUGGCAGUUGUUUUAACUAGUUCACACUUACAACAAAUGAUCGAAUAGAAUAAAAAAUUAUAAUAAGCGUAUUUGGCGUGCUGUCCAAGAGGAUCGAGGGCUCCGAGCUUGGAAUUUAGCACAAGUUCUUCCCGUAUCCCCAGCCGAGAGUGAGGAACGGGGUGGUGGAGGGAUGCAGAAAACUGUCAAGGAAACUAUAGGUGAAUCUCUCGUCUGUGUAUAUACAGUAUACCUCCACUCGAGCCGAUUAGACAGACCGUUUGAACAUGCUCCUCCCAAACUUUGUUUGUAAAACAUCAUUUGUCGCUUGAAUUCUGCAUUCUCUUGAGAUGAAGACAUGUGAGAGGCUGACAAUUAGCUGAACAUAUACUAGUUUAAUUAAUUAAUGACACUCAGCCUACAUUUUAAAACCUUUAUUAAAAAAUAUUUAUUUGAAUAGGGCAACAUUUGUAUUUUAAAAUCUUUAUUUAAUAUGGAAACAUGACACCUCAUUCUACCAUAUUUCUAUGAUUAAAUCGCUGACUCCUCCCCCAUCAGCCAAUCACUGUGUGUUUACUCCAUAGCAACAAGGUCAACCCCGCCUUUACUCUUAUCUUAAGACUUCUCUCUGUUCUUUAGUAAAAGUUUGUCUGUGCAGCUUUGUGAACAGGUUUUAAGAAAAAACUCUUAGCUAAAAACUUUUACUGCCAUUUAGGAGAACUCUUAGUGGUAAGAUAAAAUGUUUUGUGAAUACGACCCCUGAUCCAGAAGUCUUCAACAGAAGAAGAGCGUCCAGAAAUAACCAUCAGACUCUGAUUAAUCAGAUACUCAGGAAGGAUAUCCUGCAUUCUCCAAAACACUUGGGACCCGUUGUGAGGAAAUUGCUGACAAAAAGAGCUACAGAGGAGGAUAAUGUGGUGUACGCAGGAGUCUCGAGAUGUUGAUCGGAUCUUGAUCAUUUGAAAGAUUUCCCAAUAAUUAAAGUUAUAUAUAAAUACCGGCCUGCAUCAUAUUAGCUGAAUGACAUCCAGCACUUGUUUUGUAUUGUAUUUGAUAUUCAACAGUGCUUUGAUCUGCAUUGACACUAUUCUUUUAAGAGCUGCUGUGCAGCCAAACAAUGUACCAGUUAUCAAUGUAAAGCUGCUUUGACACAAUCUACAUUGUAAAAAGCGCUAUAUAAAUAAAGGUGACUUGACUUGA